This 73-nucleotide transfer RNA is filed under the name Camelus bactrianus (Bactrian camel). It matches the Rfam family "tRNA". Rfam says of the family: Transfer RNA (tRNA) molecules are approximately 80 nucleotides in length. Their secondary structure includes four short double-helical elements and three loops (D, anti-codon, and T loops). Further hydrogen bonds mediate the characteristic L-shaped molecular structure. tRNAs have two regions of fundamental functional importance: the anti-codon, which is responsible for specific mRNA codon recognition, and the 3' end, to which the tRNAs corresponding amino acid is attached (by aminoacyl-tRNA synthetases). tRNAs cope with the degeneracy of the genetic code in two manners: having more than one tRNA (with a specific anti-codon) for a particular amino acid; and 'wobble' base-pairing, i.e. permitting non-standard base-pairing at the 3rd anti-codon position. RNAcentral also lists the same sequence under 2 other names. Lineage: Eukaryota; Metazoa; Chordata; Mammalia; Artiodactyla; Camelidae. The record is from Rfam by way of RNAcentral.
UGAGUAAUAGCUCAAUGGUAGAGCAUGUCCUUAGCAUACAUCUAGGUCCUGGGUUCAAUUCCCAGUACCUCUA